Molecule: ribosomal RNA, 469 nt
Filed under: uncultured bacterium
Lineage: Bacteria
Description: bacterial SSU rRNA
Rfam family: Bacterial small subunit ribosomal RNA
Source: RNAcentral
UGCAGUCGACGCGAGGUCACUUCGGUGGCGAGUAGAGUGGCGGACGGGUGAGUAAUACAUGGGAAUCUACCCAUUAGCGGGGGAUAGCCCGGGGAAACUCGGAUUAAUACCGCAUACGCCCUACGGGGGAAGGUGGCCUCUUCUUAAGCUACCGCUAUUGGAGGAGCCUGCGUUGGAUUAGCUUGUUGGUGGGGUAAUGGCCUACCAAGGCGACGAUCCAUAGCUGGUCUGAGAGGACGAUCAGCCACACUGGGACUGAGACACGGCCCAGACUCCUACGGGAGGCAGCAGUCGGGAAUAUUGGACAAUGGGCGCAAGCCUGAUCCAGCCAUGCCGCGUGUGUGAAGAAGGCCUUACGGUUGUAAAGCACUUUCAGAGUGAAGAAAAGCGGAGUGUGAAUAAUGCUCUGUCUUGACGUUAGCUCCAGAAGAAGCACCGGCUAACUCCGUGCCAGCAGCCGCGUAAUACG